This 456-nucleotide ribosomal RNA is filed under the name uncultured bacterium. RNAcentral describes it as "bacterial SSU rRNA". It matches the Rfam family "Bacterial small subunit ribosomal RNA", at positions 83 to 533 of the family's 1533-position model. The record is from RNAcentral.
ACCUGGUGGCGAGUGGCGAACGGGUGAGUAAAGCAUCGGAACGUGCCCUGGAGUGGGGAUAACGUAGCGAAAGUUACGCUAAUACCGCAUAUUCUGUGAGCAGGAAAGCAGGGGAUCGCAAGACCUUGCGCUCUGGGAGCGGCCGAUGUCGGAUUAGCUAGUUGGUGGGGUAAAGGCCUACCAAGGCGACGAUCCGUAGCGGGUCUGAGAGGAUGAUCCGCCACACUGGGACUGAGACACGGCCCAGACUCCUACGGGAGGCAGCAGUGGGGAAUUUUGGACAAUGGGCGCAAGCCUGAUCCAGCCAUGCCGCGUGAGUGAAGAAGGCCUUCGGGUUGUAAAGCUCUUUCGGCCGGGAAGAAAUCGCAUGGGUCAAUACCCUGUGUGGAUGACGGUACCGGAAUAAGAAGGCACCGGCUUAACUACGUGCCAGCUAGCCGCGGUAAUACGUAGGGU